This is an RNA transcript of Thunnus maccoyii (southern bluefin tuna), 1597 nucleotides long. RefSeq lists it as uncharacterized. The transcript is spliced from 7 exons. Lineage: Eukaryota; Metazoa; Chordata; Actinopteri; Scombriformes; Scombridae. The record is from RefSeq and is a predicted model, not a curated record.
UCUUGGCGCGGUAUGUCUAUGUCGUUGGACUUGGACACGGCUGCAACGGCCAUUAUUUCAAUUUUGGGAUUUAUCGUUCUGCUGCUGCUUGGAACAUUGAUAUGGCUCAAACUAAUGAGGAGUCCACACAGUGCACAAUCUCAGCAGUAGACGAUUUAUCAAGCAGACCAAACCCCUGCCUGGCCUUCAUUCCGCUGAAGUGGACACAUCUAGAGUAUCCUCCAAGAUUUAUCAAUCAGGACCCUUCAAAACCAGAUUAAACCUUCAAAUGCAGUGGACAUGUCUUUGCAGAGUUUAGCAGAAUUGCCACCAAACAUCUUGAAAGCAGUUUCUUUGAGUCUCUUGACAAGCACACUCCACGGAUCAUUGAACUCCUGCAGUCAAAAAAGGGAGCUGCUGGACUGAAGAUUCAAGAGUUAAUGGCCAACUUGUCAUCGGAUGUAACUGCAAGACGCUCCGUGGUCCUCAAAGGCCUUCCCAUCGUCUUUGGUGAUGACCCAAACAAGUUCUAUAAGACAUGUUUUGAGACAACGAAAGAUGAGGCCAUAGACAAUGUCACAGUCGGUGUAUUGACCAUCCUAAGUGAAGACGAUCCUGAGCAGCCCGUGUCCACAGCCAUCGUCCUUGAGGGAGGUAUUGUGAUGGACAAAAUUCGGGACUUGCCACAGGCAUUUUGCCUCAUAUUUGGCCUCACAUAUGCCUUGAACCUCGAUUACCCAAAAUGUGUUGGAAACACAUUCAAAUUCAUUCAAAGUGUAAUGCUUGGUUUGGGAAACAAAGCCCUCCCCCCAAAACUGUUAACAGUUAAAAACAUGUUGUUUGACGAAUGAGGAGUCAGAUGUGAGGUAGCACUCAAGAACUGCUUAUGACAGAGACAUGAGAAGAGAUGCCUUAACUAAACAGUAUUUUGAACAUUUUAAGAGCUGCCUAGAUGCAGUUUAUUUGUUGAGUUGAUUUUCAAAUCUGUUCAGUGCUUUUAUGCUGGUGGUAUAUAUAGUGCCCUCUUGUGAAUUCAGGUGUUAAAAUGUUGUGUAAAAAGAAAUAUAUGUUGGAUAAUGUGGCAUACCGUUAAUGUUCUUAUGACAGAGAAGAGGCGUUUGAUGCUUUUAUAAACAGCGUUUUGAACUGUUUAAGAGUCAAGUGAAAAUAUAAUCAUCAUUUCAUUGUUCAAUUGAUACUCAGACCUGUUGAGUGCUUUUACAAUAAUGCCUUCUUGUGAAUUCUGAUGUUAAAAUGUUGAUUAAAAAGAAAUGUGAUAUGUUGGAUGAUCUAGCCAGCAAAUACCUGUAAUCCAGCAUAAAUUGUGCGUGUUAAGAUUCACAGUAAGUCUGCAUACUGUUAAUGUUUUUAUGACAGGAAGAGAGGUUUGCUUUUAGCAUUUUGAAAUGUUCAAGAGUGACGUGAAAACAUUUUCAUUUCAUUUCAAUUUUUUUUACAAUAGUGCCUUGUGAAUUCAGGUAUUAACGUGUUAAAAGAAAUGUGAUAUGUUGGAUAUUUGGAUACUGUGACCAGCACAUAAUCCAUCAAAAAUUGUGAGCACAAAAUCUGCAUACUGUUAAUUCUGUACACGUUUUAAAUAAAUUGAAUGCAGAUGACA